GGAGAGAUGGCUCAGUGGUUAAGAGUACUGGAUGCUCUUCCAGAGGAUCUGGGUUCAAUUCCCAGCACCC
Non-coding RNA from Mesocricetus auratus (golden hamster), 70 nucleotides. NCBI's taxonomy places the organism in Eukaryota, Metazoa, Chordata, Mammalia, Rodentia, Cricetidae. The record is from Rfam.